AAGUCAAUUCUACUUAUCGACUAUAUUUUAUCUUUUAAUCUAUCUUCUAUUUAACCAAUGAUAAUUGGAUAUGUCAUUUUUAUUUUGCAACAGUUUGUAAGUCAUUAUAUUAUAUUAUUUGAAUUUAUUUUUAAGCUUUCUUUCUCCCUGCUCCAAUUGACAAUAUAUAACGCAACUGUAAUAAUUGUACAAUAGUUUGUAAGUCAUAAUGUGCAUAAAUUUUAAAAUUUUCUUCCCCUCUGAUCAACAAUGAUUGCUUUUAUUUCACUAUAGCAAGUGAGUCAUAAUGUAUACUGUUAAAUUGUAACUUGCCUUUUGAUCUAAUCAAAAAUUUAAAAAAUAGAGAGCAGUAAGUCAAAAAUGUGUAUCAUUGCUUAAGUUUUUAACUCUUUUUUUCCAACCAUUAUUUAAAUAGCAAAGAUUUGUAAGUCUGAACAUAUGAUAUUAUCAUCAGUAAUAAUAUACACUUAUCUAUUUAUUUUUUCUCUACUUCAACCAUUGUAAUUCUCAGAUUGUAAGUCAAAUGUGUUUUAUUAUUUACAUUUAAUCUAUAGUCGGUUUCAGUUGAGUUUGACCACUGACCCACCCUUAUAACUUCUCUAUAAUUUAUGCUAGCAACUUGAAACUUGGUAUAGUUGCAAAACGGGUUCUUCCGAAAAUCUGUACCAAUUUUGGAGUCUCUAGGUACUCUGGAAGGUUCUCAAAAGGUUCUUUCGGUCUACAUGAAAGGGAGCCGCCAUGAUGUUUCAUGACGUGAAGCUUCGUGAAUAUCAUUUGCAUCUCAUUAAAUAUGUCAAUAAUCAUGUUUUUAUUAUUUUAAAAUCAAAUAAAGCAAAAGGAGCACUCUAGGCCAAGAUAUAAUUGAACAAGAAGACUUUGCACUCCAGAAAAAAGUCUCACUCAGUCUGCUGUACUUCUCUAAGCCUUCGUUAUUUGUCUUCAACAUUGCCGCUCAGAAACUCAGUUAAAAUUUUGCAUCUCUCGAUUCUUUCUUCAGGCAGUAAGUGAAAAUUUCAAAAUGUGUUUUAGUCAAUUUAACUUUCAUUUGAAACUAACAAACAAUAAUUACACUUCCUACAAAAUAGAGACCAUUUGUAGGUCAUACUGUGCU
RNAcentral lists this long non-coding RNA (1111 nucleotides) under Amphimedon queenslandica. Its description in RNAcentral is "uncharacterized LOC109588202, transcript variant X1". The record is from RNAcentral. Lineage: Eukaryota; Metazoa; Porifera; Demospongiae; Haplosclerida; Niphatidae.